This 1035-nucleotide long non-coding RNA is filed under the name Nicotiana benthamiana. RNAcentral's name for it is "long non-coding RNA (NBEN_LNC015881)". The record is from RNAcentral. Lineage: Eukaryota; Viridiplantae; Streptophyta; Magnoliopsida; Solanales; Solanaceae.
ACUCAAACAUUGUCGUAAUGCUUGUGGGGAAUAAGGCAGAUUUGCGUCACUUACGGGCUGUUUCCACCGAGGAUGCCAAAGCAUUUGCUGAGAAGGAGAGUACUUUUUUCAUGGAAACAUCUGCUCUGGAGUCCAUGAAUGUGGAAAAUGCCUUCACAGAAGUGCUCACUCAAAUUUACCGUGUCGUGAGCAGGAAAGCUCUUGAAGCAGGAGAUGACCCUGCAGCAUUGCCCAAGGGGCAGUCUGGAGUCCAUGAACGUGGAAAAUGCCUUCACAGAAGUGCUCACUCAAAUUUACCGUGUCGUGAGCAGGAAAGCUCUUGAAGCAGGAGAUGACCCUGCAGCAUUGCCCAAGGGGCAGACUAUUAAUGUCGGAAAUAAGGAUGAUGUUUCAGCAGUAAAGAAAGCUGGGUGCUGUUCUGCUUAAAACAAGAACCAAUCUUAUGUUGGACGAUGUUCGUUCUUCUUUUUGAGUUCAAAUUAUCAUGUGGCAGUGGUAAUUUCUCCUUUUCUGUACAAGGAAUUAACCACAUGAAUUGCUUAGCCGUCAGAGCUCUAGUUUACUGGUGCUCACGUUGGGAUUUGAGCUGCAGCCCCCCUCCUUGAGUGAUUCCUCAGCAUUCUUUAUCGUUGUUCCUAUAUUUAUCUUAGCUUAGUGUAUGAUUGUAGUAUAGCUUGUUAUGAAUAUGUAGGAUAGUGUGUAUUCGAUUGCAAAGAUAGAACUGAGGCAUGUUUGAACAGAUUAUUUUGCCUGUGACUCUAUUGUUUCGCUAGUCAUUGUAGACUACGGAAUAUUUGAUCAAUUUCUCAGGGUAUCUGACAUGAAUUCAUUGUUUAUCUUUUCCUUAAUGAGUCGAAUUGACACCUCAAAUCAGGGAAGGUUUGAUGAUGUAUUCGGUGCAAAUAGGAACAGUGACACUUUAGUGCCUUGACAAACUGGUAGUUGAUUUUCUGAUAAUCUAAUCUGCUGCUUGGCUUAAAAGCUGCCCUUCUUUUCUGAUGACUUUUUGGUGGAAAAAGUAAUUAAAAUUAUUCG